This 274-nucleotide ribosomal RNA is filed under the name uncultured bacterium. RNAcentral's name for it is "partial 16S ribosomal RNA". It matches the Rfam family "Bacterial small subunit ribosomal RNA", at positions 523 to 796 of the family's 1533-position model. The record is from RNAcentral.
AUACGAAGGGGGCUAGCGUUGUUCGGAUUUACUGGGCGUAAAGCGCACGUAGGCGGAUUGAUUAGUUAGGGGUGAAAUCCCGAGGCUCAACCUCGGAACUGCCUUUAAUACUGUCAAUCUCGAGACCGGAAGAGGUGAGUGGAACUCCUAGUGUAGAGGUGGAAUUCGUAGAUAUUAGGAAGAACACCAGUGGCGAAGGCGGCUCACUGGUCCGGUACUGACGCUGAGGUGCGAAAGCGUGGGGAGCGAACAGGAUUAGAAACCCUAGUAGUCC